RNAcentral lists this ribosomal RNA (356 nucleotides) under uncultured archaeon. RNAcentral describes it as "bacterial SSU rRNA". It matches the Rfam family "Archaeal small subunit ribosomal RNA", at positions 519 to 875 of the family's 1478-position model. The record is from RNAcentral.
CCGUAGCCGGUUCCGUAGGUCCUCUGUUAAAUCCAACCGCUUAACGGUUGACCUGCAGAGGAUACCGCGGGACUAGGAGGCGGGAGAGGCGGACGGUACUCCGCGUGUAGGGGUAAAAUCCUUUGAUCCGCGGAAGACCACCAGUGGCGAAGGCGGUCCGCCAGAACGCGCUCGACGGUGAGGGAUGAAAGCUGGGGGAGCGAACCGGAUUAGAUACCCGGGUAGUCCCAGCCGUAAACGAUGCUAGCUAGAUGAUUCAUUCGCAAGUCGCGAAUGAAGUGUCGCAGGGAAGCCGUUAAGCUAGCCGCCUGGGGAGUACGGUCGCAAGACUGAAACUUAAAGGAAUUGGCGGGGGA